ACCAAUGAGGAGAUGGGAGAGGUGACAGGACUUGCAGCGCAAUCUGCGUUACAAAUAGAACUGACUUCUAUUUUAGAACUUGGUAACGAAGACACUCGUUGGCGCGCAAUAAUUGAAUAAUACAGAUUUCUAAAUUUAUUUUGCAACGCUCGCGCAGGCGAUGUGAGCGGUGUAGUCAGCCUGUAACGUUCCCACAGCGGACAGAAGUCAGUGAGUCACUCAUGACUGUUGGCAUAUUUUCUUUCAACACGGCAUGUGCAUUAAUCUGUUAGCUAGCAGAGAUUGGCUGUGGUGAAGUGGUAACGGAAGUUGACAUGAAACUACGGUAGACGGCUAACGUUACAGGCUGACUACACCACUCGCAUUGCUCUCAACCCAUGGAACAGUCGUUUUGACACAGAAACAGCUCAGCAAGAUCAGCUCAUCUUGGGUCAAACUGCGGUUCUUCAUGGUUGUCUCCAGGACUUUCAGCCCCUUUUUGACCAAGUACCAGAUUGACGAGCCAGUGAUGCCACUCCACCACAAAGAGUUGAUAAUGUCUGCUUAGGCGUUCUGUCAAGAGGGAGCUCCUCCAGGACAUCACUCCAUUGCACAUGAUCAGACUGGGUGUCGCUGACCAAAAUAAUUGGGCCCACCCGAAGGAAGUUGACAUAAGCUUGGGUGCCGAGUCAGUCCUCAAGGUGAUGUGGGAACUUCCUAUCCCUUGAGGACAAAAGUAAGCACUUCCUCUCUUUCCGGCCCACAGAGACGAGGCUGGAUGUGUUCCUGCAUGGUUUCCUCAGCCAAUCGUACCCUGAGCUUUGGGGUUUCUGUAAGAAGCUUCUUCUGUCCCAUGGGCAGGCAGCUGUCGAGAGAGGCUUCUCCAUCAACAAGGAGUUGGAAACCUGUAACAUGCAGGAGGGUAUAGGGCUGUGGCGGUCACAAAAUUGUCAGCCGGUGAUUUGUCAAGCAACUAACUGCUGGGUUUCACGGUACUUGGCCGUUAACAUAAACACAUUUAGAAUCUCCUGGCUUCCCCACACAGCUUAGAAUACAUUUUAAAAAGUAUAAUAAAUCCUUGGAAUAUAGCCUACACCUUCACAAUGAAUCCAUUGUUUAUUUUAGAC
Oncorhynchus mykiss (rainbow trout) is the source of this 1106-nucleotide long non-coding RNA. RefSeq lists it as uncharacterized. NCBI's taxonomy places the organism in Eukaryota, Metazoa, Chordata, Actinopteri, Salmoniformes, Salmonidae. The record is from RefSeq and is a predicted model, not a curated record.